This 138-nucleotide unclassified non-coding RNA is filed under the name uncultured Plectosphaerellaceae. RNAcentral's name for it is "sequence contains ITS1". Lineage: Eukaryota; Fungi; Ascomycota; Sordariomycetes; Glomerellales; Plectosphaerellaceae. The record is from RNAcentral.
CCAGAGUUUAUCUCGCAACCCUUUGUGAACUCAUAACGUUGCUUCGGCGGCGCUGCCCCCCGUGGGAGUGCCCGCCGGCAGUACCAGCUUCUCGUUUCGGACCCGACGAUACCUCUGAGUGUUCUAAGCGAACUGUAA